This is a non-coding RNA of Ictidomys tridecemlineatus (thirteen-lined ground squirrel), 61 nucleotides long. The record is from Rfam. Lineage: Eukaryota; Metazoa; Chordata; Mammalia; Rodentia; Sciuridae.
UGUAGCUCAGUGGUAGAGCACUUGCCUGGUGUGUGAGAGGCAUUGGGUUCAAUUCUCAACA